GCGAACGCUGGCGGCAGGCUUAACACAUGCAAGUCGAGCGGGCAUCCUUGUGGUGUCCGCGGCAGACGGGUGAGUAACGCGUGGGAACGUGCCCUUCGGUUCGGAAUAACUCAGGGAAACUUGAGCUAAUACCGGAUACGCCCUUUUGGGGAAAGGUUUACUGCCGAAGGAUCGGCCCGCGUCUGAUUAGCUAGUUGGUGAGGUUAUGGCUCACCAAGGCGACGAUCAGUAGCUGGUCUGAGAGGAUGAUCAGCCACACUGGGACUGAGACACGGCCCAGACUCCUACGGGAGGCAGCAGUGGGGAAUAUUGGACAAUGGGGGCAACCCUGAUCCAGCCAUGCCGCGUGAGUGAUGACGGCCUUAGGGUUGUAAAGCUCUUUUCUCCGGGACGAUAAUGACGGUACCGGAGGAAUAAGCCCCGGCUAACUUCGUG
RNAcentral lists this ribosomal RNA (435 nucleotides) under uncultured bacterium. Its description in RNAcentral is "partial 16S ribosomal RNA". It matches the Rfam family "Bacterial small subunit ribosomal RNA", at positions 29 to 507 of the family's 1533-position model. The record is from RNAcentral.